This 705-nucleotide ribosomal RNA is filed under the name Acinetobacter sp. DsA.N050. Its description in RNAcentral is "bacterial SSU rRNA". It matches the Rfam family "Bacterial small subunit ribosomal RNA", at positions 54 to 754 of the family's 1533-position model. The record is from RNAcentral. Lineage: Bacteria; Pseudomonadati; Pseudomonadota; Gammaproteobacteria; Moraxellales; Moraxellaceae.
CAUGCAGUCGAGCGGAGUGAUGGUGCUUGCACUAUCACUUAGCGGCGGACGGGUGAGUAAUGCUUAGGAAUCUGCCAUUUAGUGGGGGACAACAUUCCGAAAGGAAUGCUAAUACCGCAUACGUCCUACGGGAGAAAGCAGGGGAUCUUCGGACCUUGCGCUAAAUGAUGACGCUAAGUCGGAUUAGCUAGUUGGUGGGGUAAAGGCCUACCAAGGCGACGAUCUGUAGCGGGUCUGAGAGGAUGAUCCGCCACACUGGGACUGAGACACGGCCCAGACUCCUACGGGAGGCAGCAGUGGGGAAUAUUGGACAAUGGGCGGAAGCCUGAUCCAGCCAUGCCGCGUGUGUGAAGAAGGCCUUUUGGUUGUAAAGCACUUUAAGCGAGGAGGAGGCUACCUGGAUUAAUACUCUAGGAUAGUGGACGUUACUCGCAGAAUAAGCACCGGCUAACUCUGUGCCAGCAGCCGCGGUAAUACAGAGGGUGCGAGCGUUAAUCGGAUUUACUGGGCGUAAAGCGUGCGUAGGCGGCUUUUUAAGUCGGAUGUGAAAUCCCCGAGCUUAACUUGGGAAUUGCAUUCGAUACUGGGAAGCUAGAGUAUGGGAGAGGAUGGUAGAAUUCCAGGUGUAGCGGUGAAAUGCGUAGAGAUCUGGAGGAAUACCGAUGGCGAAGGCAGCCAUCUGGCCUAAUACUGACGCUGAGGUAC